Molecule: long non-coding RNA, 530 nt
Organism: Daphnia pulicaria
Lineage: Eukaryota; Metazoa; Arthropoda; Branchiopoda; Diplostraca; Daphniidae
Exons: 5
Source: RefSeq, a predicted model, not a curated record
UGCAUCAUGAAACAUGGCAAAAUAAAUUGUUGCUAAUUUACACGUAUUUUUCUGUAAUUUCAAAUACCGAAUUCAACUUCGUGUUAUAUGUAGAUGCAUACUGUCAGUCACUCCAAAAAGUUUACUUAGUCACCUUCCAUCCAUUAGCUCCUUGUGCUGUCAAAAGCCUAAAACUCAUAUUUGAAGCAUAUGGUGGAAUUAGACAAUGUGCAGAGAUAAGAUUUUUAUGUAAUGUAGGUAUUCUUGCUCGUGAACCGUAGGAUAUUUUCUGAAUCUUGCAAUUUUGGUUGUGUAACCUGUAGCAGCACGUUUGUUGUUAUGGCUGUUUCUACACUCGUUUAGAAGGCAACCCAGCUGUGAGAUAGAGUUUCAGCUUCAGUGACAUGAAGAGUUUGAAGUGAAUACCUGCAAUGUGCGUUACAUCUACCAUCUGCAUACUGAUCUGUGUGAAAAAAGUCAGCCUUACUGAAUUUGUCAGCCCCAAUGAUAAAAGAAAUUGAUUUCAACCAGAGGAGUAAUGCUGUUGGUAC